This 468-nucleotide ribosomal RNA is filed under the name uncultured bacterium. RNAcentral's name for it is "partial 16S ribosomal RNA". It matches the Rfam family "Bacterial small subunit ribosomal RNA", at positions 28 to 507 of the family's 1533-position model. The record is from RNAcentral.
GACGAACGCUGGCGGCGUGCCUAACACAUGCAAGUCGAACGGAAAGGCCCUGAUUUUGUGGGGUGCUCGAGUGGCGAACGGGUGAGUAACACGUGAGUAACCUGCCCUUGUCUUUGGGAUAACUCCAGGAAACUGGGGCUAAUACCCGAUAGGAGCUCCUGCUGCAUGGUGGGGGUUGGAAAGUUUCGGCGGUUGGGGAUGGUCUCGAGGCUUAUCAGCUUGUUGGUGGGGUAGUGGCUUACCAAGGUUUUGACGGGUAGCCGGCAUGAGAGGGUGACCGGCCACAUUGGGACUGAGAUACGGCCCAGACUGCUACGGGAGGCAGCAGUGGGGAAUAUUGCACAAUGGGCGGAAGCCUGAUGCAGCAACGCCGCGUGCGGAAUGACGGCCUUCGGGUUGUAAACCGCUUUCGCCUGUGACGAAGCGUGAGUGACGGUAAUGGGUAAAGAAGCACCGGCUAACUACGUG